UUCGUUAACGAACGAGACCUCGACCUGCUAAAUAGUUAGGCAAACUCUUCGGGUUUUGUCCUAUUACUUCUUAGAGGGACUAUCGGUGAUUUAGCCGAUGGAAGUUCGAGGCAAUAACAGGUCUGUGAUGCCCUUAGAUGCCCUGGGCCGCACGCGCGCUACACUGAUACGUUCAUCGAGCUUACAACCUUGGUUGAGAGGCCUGGGUAAUCUUCUAAAACCGUAUCGUGCUGGGGAUAGAUUAUUGUAAUUUUUAAUCUUCAACGAGGAAUUCCUAGUAAACGCGAGUCAUCAACUCGCAUUGAUUACGUCCCUGCCCUUUGUACACACCGCCCGUCGCUAAUACCGAUUGAAUGGAUA
This 360-nucleotide ribosomal RNA is filed under the name Eukaryota sp. Its description in RNAcentral is "SSU rRNA". It matches the Rfam family "Eukaryotic small subunit ribosomal RNA", at positions 1324 to 1699 of the family's 1831-position model. The record is from RNAcentral.